GAAAUGCGAUAAGUAGUGUGAAUUGCAGAAUUCAGUGAAUCAUCGAAUCUUUGAACGCACAUUGCGCCCCUUGGUAUUCCAUGGGGCAUGCCUGUUCGAGCGUCAUUUGUACCCUCAAGCUCUGCUUGGUGUUGGGUGUUUGUCCCGGUCUCCGCGCGUGGACUCGCCCCAAAGUGAUUGGCAGCCGGCGUACUGGUCCCGGAGCGCAGCACAUGUCGCGCAAACGAGUGCCUUGGUACGGCGGCGUCCAUAAGCCCCUCUCUCACGCUCUUGACCUCGGAUCAGGUAGGGAUACCCGCUAAACUUAAGC
Molecule: unclassified non-coding RNA, 310 nt
Filed under: plant metagenome
Description: partial contains 5.8S ribosomal RNA, internal transcribed spacer 2, and large subunit ribosomal RNA
Rfam family: 5.8S ribosomal RNA (bases 1-105)
Source: RNAcentral